RNAcentral lists this ribosomal RNA (253 nucleotides) under uncultured bacterium. RNAcentral's name for it is "partial 16S ribosomal RNA". It matches the Rfam family "Bacterial small subunit ribosomal RNA", at positions 524 to 776 of the family's 1533-position model. The record is from RNAcentral.
UACGUAGGGGGCAAGCGUUGUCCGGAAUCAUUGGGCGUAAAGCGCGUGUAGGCGGCCCGGUAAGUCCGCUGUGAAAGUCCAGGGCUCAACCCUGGAAGGCCGGUGGAUACUGUCGGGCUCGAGUCCGGAAGAGGCGAGUGGAAUUCCUGGUGUAGCGGUGAAAUGCGCAGAUAUCAGGAGGAACACCAAUGGCGAAGGCAGCUCGCUGGGACGGUACUGACGCUGAGACGCGAAAGCGUGGGGAGCAAACAGG